GAAGAUGAAGUUUAGAGAGAAUAGAGAUUAAUUGAGAGGGUAAAAAUCAUAUGGAAUUAAUUCAUUCAACAUGUUACAAAAUGUAUAUAUAGUGCCUACUAACACUAAACAAAGUAACAAACAAAGCUAAACAAAAACAGCCUAAAAACAAAAGUAUUUUUCUGGUUUUCCUGCAGCAUUCUGGCAGCUUUUCCAAAUAGCUUCUCAAAUAAGCUAUUCUCCAAACAUGCUUCUGAUCAUAGUUACAUUGCAUUUGACUUAUAUAACAUCCAACACACCACCUUAAGUCAAAUGCUCGAUGUUCU
RNAcentral lists this long non-coding RNA (305 nucleotides) under Lathyrus oleraceus (garden pea). Its description in RNAcentral is "Pisum sativum (pea) long non-coding RNA (PSAT_LNC012910)". The record is from RNAcentral. Lineage: Eukaryota; Viridiplantae; Streptophyta; Magnoliopsida; Fabales; Fabaceae.